RNAcentral lists this ribosomal RNA (443 nucleotides) under uncultured bacterium. RNAcentral's name for it is "partial 16S ribosomal RNA". It matches the Rfam family "Bacterial small subunit ribosomal RNA", at positions 338 to 795 of the family's 1533-position model. The record is from RNAcentral.
CCUACGGGUGGCAGCAGUGGGGAAUAUUGGGCAAUGGGCGCAAGCCUGACCCAGCAACGCCGCGUGAAGGAUGAAGGCUUUCGGGUUGUAAACCUCUUUUCUUAGGGACGAAGAAAGUGACGGUACCUCAGGAAUAAGUCACGGCUAACUACGUGCCAGAAGCCGCGGUAAUACGUAGGCUGCAAGCGUUAUCCGGAUUUAUUGGGUGUAAAGGGCGUGUAGGCGGGAAAGCAAGUCAGAUGUGAAAACUAAGGGCCCAACCCUGGGCCUGCAUUUGAAACUGUGUAUCUCGAGUGCUGGAGAGGAAAGUGGAAUUCCGGGUGUAGCGGUGAAAUGCGUAGAUAUACGGAGGAACACCAGUGGCGAAGGCGGAUUUCUGGACUGUAACUGACGCUGAGGCGCGAAAGCGUGGGGAGCAAACAGGAUUAGAUACCCCGGUAGUC